Molecule: ribosomal RNA, 468 nt
Filed under: uncultured bacterium
Lineage: Bacteria
Description: partial 16S ribosomal RNA
Rfam family: Bacterial small subunit ribosomal RNA
Source: RNAcentral
GACGAACGCUGGCGGCGUGCUUAACACAUGCAAGUCGAACGGAAAGGCCCUGCUUUUGUGGGGUGCUCGAGUGGCGAACGGGUGAGUAACACGUGAGUAACCUGCCCUUGACUUUGGGAUAACUUCAGGAAACUGGGGCUAAUACCGGAUAGGAGCUCCUGCUGCAUGGUGGGGGGUGGAAAGUUUCGGCGGUUGGGGAUGGACUCACGGCUGAUCAGCUUGUUGGUGGGGUAGUGGCUUACCAAGGCUUUGACGGGUAGCCGGCCUGAGAGGGUGACCGGCCACAUUGGGACUGAGAUACGGCCCAGACUCCUACGGGAGGCAGCAGUGGGGAAUAUUGCACAAUGGGCGGAAGCCUGAUGCAGCAACGCCGCGUGCGGGAUGACGGCCUUCGGGUUGUAAACCGCUUUCGCCUGUGACGAAGCGUGAGUGACGGUAAUGGGUAAAGAAGCACCGGCUAACUACGUG